UACGUAGGGACCAAGCGUUGUUCGGAUUUACUGGGUGUAAAGGGCGCGUAGGCGGCUUUGUAAGUCACUUGUGAAAUCUCCGGGCUUAACUCGGAACGGCCAAGUGAUACUGCAAUGCUAGAGUGCAGAAGGGGCAAUCGGAAUUCUUGGUGUAGCGGUGAAAUGCGUAGAUAUCAAGAGGAACACCUGAGGUGAAGACGGGUUGCUGGGCUGACACUGACGCUGAUGCGCGAAAGCCAGGGGAGCAAACGGG
Molecule: ribosomal RNA, 253 nt
Filed under: uncultured bacterium
Lineage: Bacteria
Description: partial 16S ribosomal RNA
Rfam family: Bacterial small subunit ribosomal RNA
Source: RNAcentral